This 432-nucleotide ribosomal RNA is filed under the name uncultured bacterium. Its description in RNAcentral is "partial 16S ribosomal RNA". It matches the Rfam family "Bacterial small subunit ribosomal RNA", at positions 29 to 507 of the family's 1533-position model. The record is from RNAcentral.
ACGAACGCUGGCGGCAUGCCUAACACCUGCAAGUCGAACGAGACCUUCGGGUCUAGUGGCGCACGGGUGCGUAACGCGUGGGAAUCUGCCCUUGGGUUCGGGAUAACAGUUGGAAACGACUGCUAAUACCGGAUGAUGACUUCGGUCCAAAGAUUUAUCGCCCAGGGAUGAGCCCGCGUCGGAUUAGCUAGUUGGUGAGGUAAGAGCUCACCAAGGCGACGAUCCGUAGCUGGUCUGAGAGGAUGAUCAGCCACACUGGGACUGAGACACGGCCCAGACUCCUACGGGAGGCAGCAGUGGGGAAUAUUGGACAAUGGGCGAAAGCCUGAUCCAGCAAUGCCGCGUGAGUGAUGAAGGCCUUAGGGUUGUAAAGCUCUUUUACCCGGGAUGAUAAUGACAGUACCGGGAGAAUAAGCCCCGGCUAACUCCGUG